CCUAAGACAUGCAAGUCGAACGAGAAGGCCCAAAGAAACAGAGUGCUUGCACGAUGUAGGAUUUGGAUUCCCGUCUAGUGGCGCAAGGGUGAGUAACACGUGGGUAAUCUACCUUCGAGUCUGGAAUAACAGUUAGAAAUGAUUGCUAAUGCCGGAUGAUAUAUAAGAAGAUACGUCAUCUUAUAUUAAAAGGAGCCUUUAAAGCUUCGCUUGAAGAUGAGCCUGCGGCGUAUUAGCUAGUUGGUGAGGUAAUGGCUUACCAAGGCGACGAUGCGUAGCCGACCUGAGAGGGUGAUCGGCCACACUGGGACUGAGACACGGCCCAGACUCCUACGGGAGACAGCAGUUAGGAAUAUUCGUCAAUGGAGGAAACUCUGAACGAGCAAUGCCGCGUGAAGGAUGACGGUCCUAUGGAUUGGUAAACUUCUGUUGUUAGGGAAGAACGACCUAGGUAGGAAAUGACCUAGGAGUGACGGUACCUUCAAGAAGCUCCGGCUAACUACGUG
Molecule: ribosomal RNA, 506 nt
Filed under: uncultured bacterium
Lineage: Bacteria
Description: bacterial SSU rRNA
Rfam family: Bacterial small subunit ribosomal RNA
Source: RNAcentral